UGUGGGAGCGAGCCUGUUCGCGAUGGCGGUGUGUCAGUCAAUGGAAGGUUGAUUGAUCUACCAUCGCGAGCAGACUCGCUCCCACA
This 86-nucleotide unclassified non-coding RNA is filed under the name Pseudomonas sp. 7SR1. The record is from RNAcentral. Lineage: Bacteria; Pseudomonadati; Pseudomonadota; Gammaproteobacteria; Pseudomonadales; Pseudomonadaceae.